RNAcentral lists this ribosomal RNA (214 nucleotides) under uncultured bacterium. Its description in RNAcentral is "partial 16S ribosomal RNA". It matches the Rfam family "Bacterial small subunit ribosomal RNA", at positions 107 to 334 of the family's 1533-position model. The record is from RNAcentral.
UGAGUAACGCGUAGGAACCUGUCGCACAGUGGGGGAUAACGCUGGGAAACCGGCGCUAAUACCGCAUGUGGUCAGAGAUGAAGAAAGCAGCAAUGCGCUGUGUGAGGGGCCUGCGUCCGAUUAGCUAGUUGGUGGGGUAACGGCCUACCAAGGCGACGAUCGGUAGCUGGUCUGAGAGGAUGGUCAGCCACACUGGGACUGAGACACGGCCCAG